AUCGACUCCUCCUCGGCUCCUCCUAGAUGUUUCUUCCUUGACUUGUUCUGUUUUUGCAACAUUACAACUGGAACGUAAAACAGGAUGAGGAGUUGAAGAAGCGGAGUGUGUAGGAAUAUCAACUUUCUUGACAUUCUUAUUAUUCCUAUCAGACUGUACUAAGAGAAGAUGGAUAUUAAUAUUCUCCCUUUUUCCUCAGAGCUUGAAGAACUGUUAUUUGAGACUAACGUCAAAAGCUAAAUGGUACAUCUCUGCUGCGCAAACGACGACUGGUCAGUGCCCACAGAAGAAUGUCUUCAACCAUCAUUUUUUAGCCCUCACAGCCUCUCAGGGUUGGAGGAAAUAGCAUUAGUGAUCAUCGUUUCCGAGUCGAACGGAGAGAUCUGUCUGGUGAGAGUUGAAAGAUGGUGGCUGAGUGAAGAAUAAGGAGAAGAAGAAAGUAGAGAGAAAGUGGUACUAUAGAAAAAUUGUUUUUUUUUGUUUUUAAACAGUGGAAAGUAUGUGAUUGCAAAUUACCGGGGUGAUUGGUAGAGGCCGUGACUUUCUGUUUUUUGUUCUAAGAUUUAGGUUCUAGAUUUUUAGCUUUAUCUUUAAUUUAUUUUGUUGUAGAAAUUUUUCAGAGCACUGUAUAAAAUCUCUAGAGAAAGUGUUUUCUAAAGCUA
Molecule: long non-coding RNA, 662 nt
Filed under: Brassica napus (rape)
Lineage: Eukaryota; Viridiplantae; Streptophyta; Magnoliopsida; Brassicales; Brassicaceae
Description: long non-coding RNA (BNAP_LNC024735)
Source: RNAcentral